GUGGGAUUAGCACAGUGGUAGUUGUAGCGGAUUGCAACGAAAGUAGCAUCACAUCCGCGGGUCCCGUGUUCGAUCCACGGAUCCCACU
Dioszegia hungarica is the source of this 88-nucleotide non-coding RNA. NCBI's taxonomy places the organism in Eukaryota, Fungi, Basidiomycota, Tremellomycetes, Tremellales, Bulleribasidiaceae. The record is from the annotation of a RefSeq genome assembly.